AAUAAUUCACAUGAUCUAACUAAACUCGAAAUCCAUUUUUUAGUUCAAAUACAAUCUCAUGCAGUUCAUUCGAAUACACCCAGGAACCUGCUAAGAUCAUGCAUUACACUAUCAAUGUGAAAACUAAACCCAAGUUAAUUGUUAACUUAACCCAAAAUUAGCCAAAACAAACAAAAUCGGUCUAGCAGUUCAAUAUAGUUCUUGACAACAUAAGUAAUCUAAAUGGGGUAUUAAACUACAAUAAUUCCUAAUAGGUUCAGAUUAACAAAAAUUCCUUGUCAUUGACUUUCUGGAUCAUUUAUACACUUGAACCAAGAUGCCACAUUAAAAUGGAGAUAAGAGUGUACCUGGAUGUUGUAACACAACGAACAAGAAAGAAAAAGAAAAUCAGCUGGCAGCAACAGCAGUAAACAGCAAUCAGCAACAGCAGCAGUAACAACCAAACAGAAUACACCCCAGUGAACAAACUAGAAAUAACUCAAUGAAACAGUACUCAAUAUACAAACAAAACAGACUCAGGAGGCUCAGUUGAGACCCGAAAAUACCAAUGUUAAUCACAGGCAGAAAUAGGUGAAUCCGAAACAACAGUGGAACAACAGUUUCUGAUUUUCGGACACUCAAAGAAAGAAGCCUAAGUUUCAAUAGAACAAUUGCAGUUAAUGCUGAUUUCAAACAAAAAAAAGUGAAGAAAAGCAGAAUUUUUCAGCUUCAAUGGAGCAACAGAGGUUUUUCUUUUUGUUUAUUGUCUACCUAGGAUUGAAGUCCAGAAAUGAGCUCUCUCUUUUAGUUUCAAGAUAGGCUCCCUUAGGUUCUAAAAAACUCUUCCUCUUGUCCGAAAUCAGUCCCCUUUAAAGACUAGAGCUGGCCCUCCUUUAUUCAAACAUUUCAGCCUGUUUUUAUUCCCUCCUUAUGUGCAUUUCUACCUUUUUAUCAUUGAACCCAUGUUGUUCCUGAUUUCCCACCAGUAAAGUCACUAAGCCAACUCAAGUAGUACCCUUUUUCACUAGUUAAUUCAAAAAGAAUCUGUCGGUCUUUAACUAGUCAUUUCUAUUUAAAAUUAAGCCCCAUGCUCUUUCUGAUUUCCAGCCACUAAAGGCACUUAAUCAUAUCAUCAAUUCCACUAUUGAUCCCUAUUUUAUUCAUUAGUUUAUAUUAGUAUUAAACUGACAUACCAUUAAACUGGACAAUUUGCGGGUUUCUAACAACCCGACCUGUUAAAACUAAUUGACGACAUUUAUCCAAUCGACUAUACAAAUUACAACAUAUAAGUCAAUAGCUAACAAUUAGAAUCGAACAGUACACAUAGGUGAUUCAAGUUGUACUGACAAAAUAAUGAAUUACCCUAGAGACUAAUUAAUCGAUCAAACUUAUUCCAAUCGAUUAUAUAGUUUAAACACACACACCUAUCAAUGAACAGACGACAAUUCCGACCAAAUAAAAGGUCUGAUUUGGAGAAGAAAAAGAAGUUGGAAAUAAAAUCAUUCUAAACAACAAAUGAACAACAAAAUAAACAAACAAAAAUAGAUCAAACGGAAAAGGGAAAAAGAAUAUCUCGAGUAAUCUAGAUGACCCAGGUCUGAACUCAGACUCGACCUUUUUGAGGUCGAAUGGACCUUAAUCAAGUGUUCUCAACAGAGAACAAUUCGACUAAGGUCUAUUAGAACCUCAAACCUCUGCCAAUUUGGACAAAUUCCUGGUUUUUGGAUUUCUAGGGUUCUUGGGGCUCAGAUUAGGGGUUCGAGCUUUUCUGGUUCGAUUCGAACCAAACCAGGCUUGGUUUGGUCACGGGGGAGGUCAGGGGAGUAACUGGUGUGCAUUUGGGAUAGGUUGGUAUAAGUUGAGGUUUGGCUCGAAUCUUCAAAUGAAGAUUCGAGACGAUGGGGGAAGAUUUGAGACAAGGGAGUAACAUAUUUGGAACGGGGGUGGUCAGAUGGUUUAGGGGUGUUAAUCUGGUGACCGGCGGUGUCGAUGCCGCCGGGUUUCAGGCGAUGGGGUAAGGUGGCGGCGCUAGGGUUCCGAGGUUGUUUGGUUUGCCUCUUUCAGAGACAAAGGGGGGGUGUUUGGGAAUGAAAUGGGUAAAAGGGGUUUGGGGAUUUUUGGGUAUAUUAAACACGACAAUUAAUUUGAGUCGUCAGAUCGAAUGAUCUUAACGGCUCGGAUUAAUUGGUGAAGGACGAGACGGGGUUGUUUGGUGCAGAAACGGGGUCGUUUGGUUUUAAUGAGGGGCUGGGUCGACCCGGGUAAGCAAGUCGGGUUAUAGGGUGAGAUCGUGGACCGUUGGAUGAGGAUGGAUGCACGGUCGAGAUGCGUCGGUCUCAAAACGACGUCGUCUGAGGCGUCUUUUGAGAGCUGAUGGUUUGGGCCCGGUAUAGGUCUUGUUUGGGCCUGAUUUUGGACCAAAAGGGAAUGGCCCAGUUCAAAUUCCUUUUUCUAUUUUUUGUUCUUUUCCUUUUUAAUUCCUAGUUUAAAUUCCGAAUUUACAAAAAAUUAUAAAAUUAAAAUUAUAUCACACAGACAUUAAUUGAUUCUUAGCAAUAAUUAACACACAUUAUCAUAUAUUAAUUAAACAAAAUCAACCAUUAAACGAUAAAAAUGACAAAAUUACCACAAAAAAAAUAAUAUUUUUGUGAUUUUUAUUCAUUUAAAAACCAAAUACGAUUUAAUUAAUUCCUAAUAGUAGAAUAAGAUCCUAAAUUUACAUGCAACAUAUUUUUGUAUUUUUAAUUAAUAAAAUAAACAAUCAAAGACAAAAACUACAAAUAACUAUCAAAAAAUGCCACGCAAAUUCUCAAAAUUAUACACAAAGACAAUUUGUUUUAUUUUUCGAUUUCUUUUGGAGUAAUUGUCGUGGAAACAAAAAUCACGUGCUCACAGCUGCCCCUCUUUGUUCGAAAACAUGCAAGGUUUUCGUGCAAAGAUAAAGUGAGCGGAUAUGAGCGAUUUUCGUUUGUUUGACUACUCCGUGUGAAACAUUUUUUGAAAUAUUUGACCGAACCUCUGCUUCGAAGGUUUCCUACAUAUCCUGGGCUAAACAGGAAUCAGGUCAAUGUAGUUCGGGAAGUUUUGGUAGCUGGGACUACCAUGGGACUGUAAUGUUGUUGUUACUACUGUUGCAUGCUGUUACUACUGCUUUACCGACCUCCUUAUUACACCAAAAGAGAAUUAAAACUAAGCUAGCUAUGCCUAUAAACUACUAGUUACAAGNNNNNNNNNNNNNNNNNNNNNNNNNUUCCUACUAGGGAUCCGCAUGAGUUUUGUUUAUACUAGGUUUAUCCUGGGUAUUUGUUCUAGACUAUGUACCCGAGCGGACAACUCGAGUCGAGGAGGGGGCUACGUACCGGGGACCCGCGAGAUCGUCCGGCUUUGUAACUUGUCCGACCUCUUUCUUAUUUCAAGGUAUGACACUAACAGAAUAGGGAGUCUCGACCAGCAAGCACAUCCCCGAAGAUGAGAAGAAGAGAGUUUCGGCACAGUUUAUAUACAGUUCAGUUAAUAUCAAAGCGGUAAAAGGCAACAUUUAGCACGUUAUGCCCAAACAUGUAAUAAAGAUCAGAUAAUAAAGCCGAAUAUAACAAAUAUUCUAAGCUCGAAUUCUUGAACCCUGAACCAGAGAUUUUGGGUUCGUAUCCCCAGCAGAGUCGCCAGAGCUGUCACACCUCCUUUUUGCGCGCCUACCCCGAAGGAUGCGUGAGGGAUUUUUUCCAUUUUAAGUGACAAUAUUCGAAAUGAGAUUAUUUAUUUAAUUCAGAGUCGUCACUUGGGAAAAGUUUGGCUUUUGGUGUCCCAAGUCACCGGUUUAUCUUGAAUCCCAAUUCGAGGAAAAUAUUCGACUUUCCAAAUGAAGUCUGCGAACCAGAAAUUCUAAGUAAGGAAUUUUGUUGAUCCGACGGAAGGUGUUAGGCACCCCCGAAUCCGGUGGUUCUAGCACAGUCGCUUAAAUUGUUAUAAUGGCUAAAUAUCUGAUUUUAAUACAUGUUAUAACUUGUGUGCUUUUAUUAGGUUUAAACCGCUUUUAUUAUUUAUUUAUUAUGGAAUUGCAACGUCGUGAAAAUGUAUUUCGAACCGCGUCGCAAUCAAUGCGCCCGUGGUUGUUAAUAUAUUCCGACUCCGUUGAGAUUUGGAUUUGGGUCACAUAAAUGCGCACCCGAAUUUAAGCAUGUAAUUUAAUUAAAAGCGCGUCUAAAGAGUCUAACGCGUUAUUAUCUUUGGGGAAAGCCGUGAAGUUCGCUAAAUGGACACUCCCGAAAUCUAAGUAAUUAUUAACAUCUAUUGAGGGCCCCGUAGUUUGUGCGUCUUUGUUUGGCGAGGCUCGCCUCAUUUAUUUUAAAAAAACAAAGGGCAAGCCUAAAAGCAGCUAUGAUUUUUUUUUGUGUGUGUUUUGUCUCUAAGAAAAAAAAAAGAAAAUAUCCUAAUUAAAAUGUUUCCGGUCUAAUACGGGCCAAGCAAUAGUUUUGAAAUAACCGUGCCAUUGGGCUCAAAAGUAAGCCCAAAGAAUAUGAAUUGAAACAACGAUCCAUUAAUGAAAACCGUUCGAGCGCGGGCCUUAAAAUUUGCCCAAAACGAGAAAGGUAUUUAAUAGGCCCACUUCAAAGCUUUUAAUUAGCUACUGAUCCUUGAUUCUUACUAAAUAGAUUUCAAAAAUAAAAGGAAUGACGACAUGCUCAGUUAUUUCAAUGUUAUUUCAAUAUGCACUUGAUAAUUGAACGCAGGGAAUAAUGAUGUGUAUUUAUUUAUUCCUACUGGAGAUUGAUUACUCAGCACAGGCUAAACUAGUUUGAUACUAGCUCGAACUAAACUUACUAGUCUAAUACUUAACUUGGGCUUGACGUAUGAUAACAUAAUCAAUUGCUUCACGCUGUUCUGACUGCCUGCUAAUUUAUUACGAACCAUACAAUCGUUUAACGACAAAUUACAAAAGAGGAUCUAAUACUUAACAAUCCAAUAAUUCACAUGAUCUAACUAAACUCGAAAUCCAUUUUUUAGUUCAAAUACAAUCUCAUGCAGUUCAUUCGAAUACACCCAGGAACCUGCUAAGAUCAUGCAUUACACUAUCAAUGUGAAAACUAAACCCAAGUUAAUUGUUAACUUAACCCAAAAUUAGCCAAAACAAACAAAAUCGGUCUAGCAGUUCAAUAUAGUUCUUGACAACAUAAGUAAUCUAAAUGGGGUAUUAAACUACAAUAAUUCCUAAUAGGUUCAGAUUAACAAAAAUUCCUUGUCAUUGACUUUCUGGAUCAUUUAUACACUUGAACCAAGAUGCCACAUUAAAAUGGAGAUAAGAGUGUACCUGGAUGUUGUAACACAACGAACAAGAAAGAAAAAGAAAAUCAGCUGGCAGCAACAGCAGUAAACAACAAUCAGCAACAACAGCAGUAACAACCAAACAGAAUACACCCCAGUGAAUAAACCAGAAAUAACUCAAUGAAACAAUACUCAAUAUCCAAACAAAAUAGACUCAGGAGGCUCAGUUGAGACCCGAAAAUACCAAUGUUAAUCACAGGCAGAAAUAGGUGAAUCUGAAACAACAGUUUCUGAUUUUUGGACACUCAAAGAAAGAAGCCUAAGUUUCAAUAGAACAAUAGCAGUUAAUGCUGAUUUCAAACAGAAAAAAAAAGUGAAGAAAAGUAGAAUUUUUCAGCUUCAAUGGAGCAACAGAGGUUUUUCUUUUUGUUUAUUGUCUACCUAGGAUUGAAGUCCAGAAAUGAGCUCUCUCUUUUAGUUUCAAGAUAGGCUCCCUUAGGUUCUAAAAAACUCUCCCUCUUGUCCGAAAUCAGUCCCCUUUAAAGACUAGAGCUGGCCCUCCUUUAUUCAAACAUUUCAGCCUGUUUUUAUUCCAUCCUCAUGUGCAUUUCUACCUUUUUAUUAUUGAACCCAUGUUGUUCCUGAUUUCCCACCAGUAAAGUCACUAAGCCAACUCAAGUAGUACCCUUUUUCACUAGUUAAUUCAAAAAGAAUCUGUCAGUCUUUAAUUAGUCAUUUCUAUUUAAAAUUAAGCCCCAUGCUCUUUCUGAUUUUCAGCCACUAAAGGCACUUAAUCAUAUCAUCAAUUCCACUAUUGAUCCCUAUUUUAUUCAUUAGUUUAUAUUAGUAUUAAACUGACAGACCAUUAAAACUGGACAAUUUGCGGGUUUCUAACAACCCGACCUGUUAAAACUAAUUGACGACAUUUAUCCAAUCGACUAUACAAAUUACAACAUAUAAGUCAACAGCUAACAAUCAGAAUCGAACAGUACACAUAGGUGAUUCAAGUUGUACUGACAAAAUAACGAAUUACCCUGGAAACUAAUUAAUCGAUCAAACUUAUUCCAAUCGAUUAUAUAGUUUAAACACACACACCUAUCAAUGAACAGACGACAAUUCCGACCAAAUAAAAGGUCUGAUUUGGAGAAGAAAAAGAAGUUGGAAAUAAAAUCAUUCUAAACAACAAACGAACAACAAAAUAAACAAAAAAAAAACAGAUCAAACGGAAAAGGGAAAAAGAAUACCUCGAGUAAUCUAGAUGACCCAGGUCUGAACUCAGACUCGACCUUUUUGAGGUCGAAUGGACCUUAAUCAAGUGUUCUCAACGGAGAACAAUUCGACUAAGGUCUAUUAGAACCUCAAACCUCUGCCAAUUUGGACAAAUUCCUGGUUUUUGAAUUUCUAGGGUUCUUGGGGCUCAGAUUAGGGGUUCGAGCUGUUCUGGUUCGAUUCGAACCAAACAAGGUUUGGUUUGGUCACGAGGGAGGUCAGGGGAGUAACUGGUGUGCAUUUGGGAUCGGUUGGUAUAAGUUUAGGUUUGGCUCGAAUCUUCAAAUGAAAAUUCGAGACGAUGGGGGAAGAUUUGAGACAAUGGAGUAACAUAUUUGGAACGGGGGUGGUCAGAUGGUUUAGGGGUGUUAAUCUGGUGACCGGCGGUGUCGAUGCCGCCGGGUUUCAGGCGAUGGAGUAAGGUGGCGGCGCUAGGGUUCCGAGGUUGUUUGGUUUGCCUCUUUCAGAGACGAAGGGGGGGUGUUUGGG
Molecule: long non-coding RNA, 6999 nt
Filed under: Nicotiana tabacum (common tobacco)
Lineage: Eukaryota; Viridiplantae; Streptophyta; Magnoliopsida; Solanales; Solanaceae
Description: long non-coding RNA (NTAB_LNC003487)
Source: RNAcentral